GAUCCUGGCUCAGGAUGAACGCUAGCUACAGGCUUAACACAUGCAAGUCGAGGGGAAACGACAUUGGAAGCUUGCUUCCUUUGGGCGUCGACCGGCGCACGGGUGAGUAACGCGUAUCCAACCUUCCCGCAAGUAAGGGAUAACCCGUAGAAAUGCGGCCUAAUACCUUAUGUUUUCCUUAGAGGGCAUCUGAUGAGGAACAAAGAUCCGUCGCUUGCGGAUGGGGAUGCGUCUGAUUAGUUAGUCGGCGGGGUAACGG
RNAcentral lists this ribosomal RNA (259 nucleotides) under uncultured bacterium. Its description in RNAcentral is "partial 16S ribosomal RNA". It matches the Rfam family "Bacterial small subunit ribosomal RNA", at positions 15 to 263 of the family's 1533-position model. The record is from RNAcentral.